RNAcentral lists this ribosomal RNA (107 nucleotides) under Escherichia coli. RNAcentral's name for it is "partial 16S ribosomal RNA". It matches the Rfam family "Bacterial small subunit ribosomal RNA", at positions 1437 to 1533 of the family's 1533-position model. RNAcentral also lists the same sequence under 3 other names. The record is from RNAcentral. Lineage: Bacteria; Pseudomonadati; Pseudomonadota; Gammaproteobacteria; Enterobacterales; Enterobacteriaceae.
AACCUUCGGGAGGGCGCUUACCACUUUGUGAUUCAUGACUGGGGUGAAGUCGUAACAAGGUAACCGUAGGGGAACCUGCGGUUGGAUCACCUCCUUACCUUAAAGAA